Molecule: unclassified non-coding RNA, 761 nt
Filed under: Hevea brasiliensis (rubber tree)
Lineage: Eukaryota; Viridiplantae; Streptophyta; Magnoliopsida; Malpighiales; Euphorbiaceae
Source: RNAcentral
AUGGAUUCCUCGUACAUACCCUGGAGUCAAAAGGAAAAGCACACUUGUCUAAUAGUUCAUUUCACCAUAAUAUACAGAUCCAAUAUGGCAGUGAGCUUAGGGAUCCUGAAUGCGAUUCUGAUAGCGAAGAAUGAUUGCAUUUUCAAACUAGACAAGUAAAUCUUAAAGCAUGCAUAUACCUAGUCCAGAAAUAGAAGGUUGCACAUCUCAAUUAUCAUGGUAAAGCAAUAAAUCCAACAGAAUAGGGUACCAAAGUGAACAUAUUCAGAAGAACAUGUACAAUUCAUUAAAAAUAGGAGUCCGCUCUGCAUUUCCAUGAUUUGAGAUAAGCUCACUGGUUUUCGGGCUCCAUAUCUUAGAAAGAAAUUCAGAAAUUUGUUUCUUUGGGCUAUUUUGAUAUUUUUAAUUAUCUAAGGUAUUUUGGCAUUUGUCUUUGUAAUUAGGGUUAUAGUUAUCUCAUGAUACCUAAGGUAUCAUUAGAAGCUCUUCUAAAUUCUAACUUUAGGUUCUAUUUGGAUGAAAUCAAAACUUCAAGAUCAUCUUGAAUUUUCAGCUGUCUUUUCAUGACUCUACACACUUUUAGCCGAGAGUCUAUUAAUUAUGACAAGUUCACCAUCAGAUUUCAGCAAUCCCCUACCCUCCCAAGUACACAUAGGUCUCUUUGACUAAUGGUGAGCGACUUAAAUAAUUUAAGAUUAACUGGUAUCAAUUCUAAUUUCUAAUAGAAGAAUAUUCUCAUUCAUAAGAUUGCCCAAGUGCCA